Molecule: ribosomal RNA, 253 nt
Filed under: uncultured bacterium
Lineage: Bacteria
Description: partial 16S ribosomal RNA
Rfam family: Bacterial small subunit ribosomal RNA
Source: RNAcentral
GACGAACCGUGCGAACGUUGUUCGGAAUCACUGGGCUUAAAGGGCGCGUAGGCGGGCGAGCAAGUCCGGGGUGAAAUCUUUCGGCUUAACCGGAAAAGUGCCUUGGAUACUGCUCGUCUCGAGGGAGGUAGGGGCAGGUGGAACUUCCGGUGGAGCGGUGAAAUGCGUUGAUAUCGGAAGGAACGCCGGUGGCGAAAGCGACCUGCUGGAUCUCUACUGACGCUGAGGCGCGAAAGCUAGGGGAGCGAACGGG